GGGGAUAUAGCUCAGUUGGUAGAGUGUUUGCCUUGUAUGCACAAAGCCCUGGGUUCAAUCUCCAGGAUCACAC
Non-coding RNA from Ictidomys tridecemlineatus (thirteen-lined ground squirrel), 73 nucleotides. The record is from Rfam. NCBI's taxonomy places the organism in Eukaryota, Metazoa, Chordata, Mammalia, Rodentia, Sciuridae.